UUAACUCAAAUUUGUAUGAAGUUGAGACGUUUGCCUACGUUUGCCGCUAGGGGCGGUGUUCCAAAUCCAUACAAAUUUGAGUUA
Bombyx mori (domestic silkworm) is the source of this 84-nucleotide non-coding RNA. The record is from Rfam. NCBI's taxonomy places the organism in Eukaryota, Metazoa, Arthropoda, Insecta, Lepidoptera, Bombycidae.